GUUUUAAUAUCACAAUAGGUCUCAGACUACACUAUCGAACUGUUAUCUAACACACAUUGUUCUCGACCUUGACUAACGAUAAGUUAUUUUAUUCAACAAAAAAAAAAGGAUCUGAUAAUUACAAAAACAGUCUGCUCGAGAGCGAAUGGUUUGGUAUCACGUAUUAGUUUAAUUUCAGAUUGUGGCUGAUGAUUGAUGUGUUUUCACAUUUACGAUGCCUAGAUGUGUUUGAAGAUGUUGACUUCAGUUUGAAAGUCCCAGAUUAUAGGGGAUUUACCAAUGUGAACGAAGGUGAACACCGCGGGGGAAGAGUAGUUGCAAAUAAGUAGCCAUCGAGGUCAGACGAACAAAAAGAGUAAAAAUAAAAGAGGAAAGACGCGAGAAAGACGAAAGACGCGUAGAAGACGAAAGACGUACAAAAGACGGAAAGUCCUGAAAAAGACGAUAAAGACGGAAGACGAUAAAAUCAAUUGUAUAUUGAUGUGCUGUUGUGACCAAUAAGAAAAGUGUAUCAGGAUAGCUGUUCAAUACUGUGGAAAACUCUAAUUGUGCAAACGUUUAUACUUUUUAAUAUUUUAAUUUUAUUCAUUAAACACUUUCUAAAAAUA
Agrilus planipennis (emerald ash borer) is the source of this 608-nucleotide long non-coding RNA. RefSeq lists it as uncharacterized. NCBI's taxonomy places the organism in Eukaryota, Metazoa, Arthropoda, Insecta, Coleoptera, Buprestidae. The record is from RefSeq and is a predicted model, not a curated record. The transcript is spliced from 3 exons.